Molecule: ribosomal RNA, 469 nt
Filed under: uncultured bacterium
Lineage: Bacteria
Description: partial 16S ribosomal RNA
Rfam family: Bacterial small subunit ribosomal RNA
Source: RNAcentral
GAUGAACGCUGGCGGCGUGCUUAACACAUGCAAGUCGAACGGUGAACACGGAGCUUGCUCUGUGGGAUCAGUGGCGAACGGGUGAGUAACACGUGAGCAACCCGCCCCUGACUCUGGGAUAAGAGCUGGAAACGGCGUCUAAUACUGGAUAUGUGACGUGACCGCAUGGUGUGCGUUUGGAAAGAUCGUUCGGUUGGGGAUGGGUUCGCGGCCUCUCAGCUCGUUGGUGAGGUAGUGGGUGACCAAGGGGUCGAGGGGUAGCCGGCCUGAGAGGGUGACCGCCCACACUGGGACUGAGACACGGACCAGAAGCCAACGGGAGGCAACAGUGGAGAGUAUUGCACAAUAGGCGCGAGCCUGAGGCAGCAGCGCCGCGAGAGGGAUGACGGCCUUCGGGUUAUAAACCUCUGUUAGCAGAAAAGAAGCGAAAGUGACGGUACCUGCAGAAAAAGCGCCGGCUAACUACGUG